RNAcentral lists this long non-coding RNA (227 nucleotides) under Brassica napus (rape). RNAcentral describes it as "long non-coding RNA (BNAP_LNC009989)". The record is from RNAcentral. Lineage: Eukaryota; Viridiplantae; Streptophyta; Magnoliopsida; Brassicales; Brassicaceae.
UACAGUUCUUGGUUCUCAUCUUUCACCUCAUUUUCUACUUUUUUCUGUUUUUUUAGUGUUGAAAUAAGUGGUGAGAGACUCUCUAUUCCUUUUCUUGUCAACUUGUUACUGGGCCACAUCGGGCCGGCCCAGUUGGCCCAUCAACCUCACCGCAGGAGGCGCGGAUUGAACCCGAGAUGCCUGGGAGAUUGACGUGGUACGCAGACCACCUGUCCUAGAAGUUCCCG